RNAcentral lists this ribosomal RNA (785 nucleotides) under uncultured Actinomycetes bacterium. RNAcentral describes it as "bacterial SSU rRNA". It matches the Rfam family "Bacterial small subunit ribosomal RNA", at positions 28 to 818 of the family's 1533-position model. The record is from RNAcentral. Lineage: Bacteria; Bacillati; Actinomycetota; Actinomycetes.
GACGAACGCUGGCGGCGUGCUUAACACAUGCAAGUCGAGCGGAAAGGCCCUUUGGGGUACUCGAGCGGCGAACGGGUGAGUAACACGUGAGUAACCUGCCCUGGACUUUGGGAUAACCCUCGGAAACGGGGGCUAAUACCGGAUAUGACUGCUUCUCGCAUGGGGGUGGUGGAAAGUUUUUCGGUCUGGGAUGGGCUCGCGGCCUAUCAGCUUGUUGGUGGGGUGAUGGCCUACCAAGGCGACGACGGGUAGCCGGCCUGAGAGGGCGACCGGCCACACUGGGACUGAGACACGGCCCAGACUCCUACGGGAGGCAGCAGUGGGGAAUAUUGCACAAUGGGCGGAAGCCUGAUGCAGCGACGCCGCGUGAGGGAUGACGGCCUUCGGGUUGUAAACCUCUUUCAGCAGGGACGAAGCGGCUGGGUUUUCCCGGUCGUGACGGUACCUGCAGAAGAAGCGCCGGCCAACUACGUGCCAGCAGCCGCGGUAAGACGUAGGGCGCGAGCGUUGUCCGGAUUUAUUGGGCGUAAAGAGCUCGUAGGCGGCUUGUCGCGUCGACCGUGAAAACUUGGGGCUCAACUCCAAGCUUGCGGUCGAUACGGGCAGGCUGGAGUUCGGUAGGGGAGACUGGAAUUCCUGGUGUAGCGGUGAAAUGCGCAGAUAUCAGGAGGAACACCGGUGGCGAAGGCGGGUCUCUGGGCCGAUACUGACGCUGAGGAGCGAAAGCGUGGGGAGCGAACAGGAUUAGAUACCCUGGUAGUCCACGCUGUAAACGUUGGGCGCUA